This 253-nucleotide ribosomal RNA is filed under the name uncultured bacterium. RNAcentral describes it as "partial 16S ribosomal RNA". It matches the Rfam family "Bacterial small subunit ribosomal RNA", at positions 524 to 776 of the family's 1533-position model. The record is from RNAcentral.
UACGAAGGGGGCUAGCGUUGUUCGGAAUUACUGGGCGUAAAGCGCACGUAGGCGGAUUUGUAAGUCAGGGGUGAAAUCCCGGGGCUCAACCUCGGAACUGCCUUUGAUACUGCAAGUCUCGAGUCCGGAAGAGGUGAGUGGAAUUCCUAGUGUAGAGGUGAAAUUCGUAGAUAUUAGGAAGAACACCAGUGGCGAAGGCGGCUCACUGGUCCGGUACCGACGCUGAGGCACGAAAGCGUGGGGAGCAAACAGG